AGUGAACGCUGGCGGUAGGCCUAACACAUGCAAGUCGAACGGCAGCACAGGAGAGCUUGCUCUCUGGGUGGCGAGUGGCGGACGGGUGAGGAAUACAUCGGAAUCUACUCUGUCGUGGGGGAUAACGUAGGGAAACUUACGCUAAUACCGCAUACGACCUACGGGUGAAAGCAGGGGAUCUUCGGACCUUGCGCGAUUGAAUGAGCCGAUGUCGGACUAGCUAGUUGGCGGGGUAAAGGCCCACCAAGGCGACGAUCCGUAGCUGGUCUGAGAGGAUGAUCAGCCACACUGGAACUGAGACACGGUCCAGACUCCUACGGGAGGCAGCAGUGGGGAAUAUUGGACAAUGGGCGCAAGCCUGAUCCGGCCAUACCGCGUGGGUGAAGAAGGCCUUCGGGUUGUAAAGCCCUUUUGUUGGGAAAGAAAUCCAGCUGGCUAAUACCCGGUUGGGAUGACGGUACCCAAAGAAUAAGCACCGGCUAACUUCGUGCCAGCCGCCGCGGUAA
This 506-nucleotide ribosomal RNA is filed under the name uncultured bacterium. Its description in RNAcentral is "partial 16S ribosomal RNA". It matches the Rfam family "Bacterial small subunit ribosomal RNA", at positions 29 to 523 of the family's 1533-position model. The record is from RNAcentral.